Molecule: transfer RNA, 69 nt
Filed under: Malenka flexura
Lineage: Eukaryota; Metazoa; Arthropoda; Insecta; Plecoptera; Nemouridae
Description: tRNA-Trp
Rfam family: tRNA
About the family: Transfer RNA (tRNA) molecules are approximately 80 nucleotides in length. Their secondary structure includes four short double-helical elements and three loops (D, anti-codon, and T loops).
Source: RNAcentral
AAGGCUUUAAGUUAACGAAACUAAUAGCCUUCAAAGCUGUAAAUAAAGGUAAAAAUUCUUUAAGCCUUA